AGAUGGGAGCUUGCUCCCUGAUGUUACGGCGGACGGGUGAGUAACACGUGGGUAACCUGCCUGUAAGACUGGGAUAACUCCGGGAAACCGGGGCUAAUACCGGAUGGUUGUUUGAACCGCAUGGUUCAAACAUAAAAGGUGGCUUCGGCUACCACUUACAGAUGGACCCGCGGCGCAUUAACUAGUUGGUGAGGUAACGGCUCACCAAGGCAACGAUGCGUAACCGACCUGAGAGGGUGAUCGGCCACACUGGGACUGAAACACGGCCCAGACUCCUACGGGAGGCAGCAGUAGGGAAUCUUCCGCAAUGGACGAAAGUCUGACGGAACAACGCCGCGUGAGUGAUGAAGGUUUUCGGAUCGUAAAGCUCUGUUGUUAGGGAAGAACAAGUACCGUUCGAAUAGGGCGGUACCUUGACGGUACCUAACCAGAAAGCCACGGCUAACUACGUGCCAGCAGCCGCGGUAAUACGUAGGUGGCAAGCGUUGUCCGGAAUUAUUGGGCGUAAAGGGCUCGCAGGCGGUUUCUUAAGUCUGAUGUGAAAGCCCCCGGCUCAACCGGGGAGGGUCAUUGGAAACUGGGGAACUUGAGUGCAAAAGAGGAGAGUGGAAUUCCACGUGUAGCGGUGAAAUGCGUAGAGAUGUGGAGGAACACCAGUGGCGAAAGCGACUCUCUGGUCUGUAUCUGACGCUGAG
Molecule: ribosomal RNA, 695 nt
Filed under: Bacillus subtilis
Lineage: Bacteria; Bacillati; Bacillota; Bacilli; Caryophanales; Bacillaceae
Description: bacterial SSU rRNA
Rfam family: Bacterial small subunit ribosomal RNA
Source: RNAcentral